CUACCACAGAGAAGACGGUGCGCGCCGGCUAGAGAGGCCCAGCGCCACCAUCAAGAGAGGCCCGAGAGAAGCCUAGAGUGGAACCCCGCCUGGUCGCCUCCGGGAGUGAAAGGGACUCAGUGGCCGGAAUUGGCAAAUGACUCAACGCAAGGCAAUAGUUGCUUCAGACGCUGACUGUUUUCGGCGGACACAACAUCUUUGUUUGUAUGUGGUGCUGAGGAUUGAACCCAGCCGCAUGCAUGCCAGGAUUUUGCAACAUGGGACUCAGAGAAGCUUGAAAACUAUCAACUGCUUUGUUUUUGCCAUUUGAUACAGGAAAAUCAAUAACAACAACCAUGUGAGUUAUACUGAAACUGGAGAGAAGCAGAGAUGACUGUGAAGGGAGUGCAUCCUCCCUGCAUCUCCCAGAAAUUACGUUCUGCUUUUACCUGUAGUGGGUGUGCAGCCAUUUUGUUGUUCUAUUUUUGUGAGACUUCCCAGGAUCCUUAUAAUAAAAUAUUCUUUUCUUUCAAA
Molecule: long non-coding RNA, 513 nt
Organism: Ictidomys tridecemlineatus (thirteen-lined ground squirrel)
Lineage: Eukaryota; Metazoa; Chordata; Mammalia; Rodentia; Sciuridae
Source: RefSeq, a predicted model, not a curated record